RNAcentral lists this unclassified non-coding RNA (625 nucleotides) under plant metagenome. RNAcentral's name for it is "partial contains small subunit ribosomal RNA and internal transcribed spacer 1". The record is from RNAcentral.
AAGUCGUAACAAGGUUUCCCUCUACGAGACCCUGUGGUGCUGGCUUUAGCCAGCGAUCGCCGCGACUGUAAAUAAUAUUGGCGUUUACCGCAAGUCCCCGAAGGGGCGACACUGCACGAUUGACGGGAAUGCUUGCACAGGCAGGCAACCCGCAAGCCCCUACCCGGGGUCCACAGACUAAGUGGCAGUGGGCACGGCUUUCCGUGCUUAAGAUAUAGUCGGCCUCGGUGCGUGAGCCCCGAGAUGAAGCGUCCGUAGGUCGACCGCAAGUUUUGCCUACCAAAGCAGGUUUCGAAAGAACUGCUAGUCUCCCUUGUGAGGCGACACGCUCAGUGUGCGGGAAGGCCCUUUCAAGGGAAAUCGCAGCCACCCCCUACCCGGGGGCUGGUUCAGAGACUCGAUAGUGUGGGUAUGGCCGUGUGGGCCGAGCUUGAGAUAGAGCCCGUCCCUGCUGGAAACUUCAGGGAGUGACGGAACCUGCGGAAGGAUCAUUAAAGAAUCGGCGGCCUUCGUGGCCCUGAUCUCACCCUUUGUAUACCUGUUAUAAGUUGCUUCGGCAGAUGAAAGCCUGCCGAAAGCCCAAAACCCUUGAAUCCCUGCUGUCCGAGUACUAAUAAUCGUUAAA